AGCGAGAAUUAUGUGAGAAUCAUAAUGGCCGAAAAUCUAAGGUUUCCUGAGGAAGGUUCGUCCGCUCAGGGUAAGCCGGGAGCUAAGGUGAGGCGGAAACGCGUAGCCGAUGCACAUACGGUAGAGAUUCCGUAGCCUCCGAAAAGUAAAGCACAGGGACGCUUCAGAAGUGUUACGCCGGGCGAUGGUAGCCCCGGUUGUAAAGGACACAAUUGAGUGGAAGGUAACAUGGAUGGAGACAAGAAAAGCUGUGUGUAUCUGGAAGGAGCCCGUACCGCAAACCGACACAGGUAGAUAGGAAGAAGAUUCUAAGGCCAGCGGGAGAAGGGUUGUUAAGGAACUCGGCAAGUUGGCCCCGUAACUUCGGGAGAAGGGGUGCUUACGAAGGUAAGCCGCAGAGAAUAGGCCCAAGCGACUGUUUAGCAAAGACACAGCUCUAUGCUAAAUCGAAAGAUGACGUAUAUGGGGUGACACCUGCCCGGUGCUGGAAGGUUAAGAGGAGAUGUGAGAGCAUUGAAUUGAAGCCCCAGUAAACGUCGGCCGUAACGAUAACGGUCCUAAGGUAGCGAAAUUCCUUGUCAGGUAAGUUCUGACCCGCACGAAUGGUGUAACGAUUUGGGCACUGUCUCAACAACCUACCCGGCGAAAUUGUAGUACCGGUGAAGAUGCCGGUUACCCGCGACUAGACGGAAAGACCCCAUGGAGCUUCACUGUAGCUUAAUAUUGAAUUUUGGUAUUUCAUGUACAGGAUAGGUGGGAGACUGGGAAAUACAGGCGUCAGCUUGUAUGGAGUCACUGUUGGGAUACCACUCUUGAGGUGCUGAAAUUCUAACCUGCGUCUUUGAAUCAAGACGGGGGACAUUGUUAGGUGGGCAGUUUGACUGGGGCGGUCGCCUCCAAAAGAGUAACGGAGGCGCUCAAAGGUUCGCUCAGCAUGGACGGAAACCAUGCCAAAGAGUGCAAACGCAAAAGCGAGCCUAACUGCGAGACUGACGGGUCGAGCAGUAACGAAAGUUGGAGUUAGUGAUCCGGCGGUAUGUGAGUGGAAAUGCCGUCGCUCAACGGAUAAAAGCUACCCUGGGGAUAACAGGCUGAUCUCCCCCAAGAGUCCACAUCGACGGGGAGGUUUGGCACCUCGAUGUCGGCUCAUCGCAUCCUGGGGCUGAAUUCGGUCCCAAGGGUUUGGCUGUUCGCCAAUUAAAGCGGUACGCGAGCUGGGUUCAGAACGUCGUGAGACAGUUCGGUCCCUAUCUGUCGUGGGCGUAGGAUAUUUGAAAGGAGCUGUCCCUAGUACGAGAGGACCGGGAUGGACGCACCUCUGGUGAACCAGUUGUCACGCCAGUGGCACGGCUGGGCAGCUAAGUGCGGAACGGAUAAACGCUGAAAGCAUCUAAGCGUGAAGCCGACCUUAAGAUAAGAUAUCCGUUCUUCGGAAUAAGACCCCUUGUAGACUACGAGGUUGAUAGGCUUAAAGUGUAAGCAUGGUGACAUGUUUAGCUUGCAAGUACUAAUCGGUCGAUUGCUUUU
RNAcentral lists this ribosomal RNA (1527 nucleotides) under metagenome. RNAcentral's name for it is "bacterial LSU rRNA". It matches the Rfam family "Bacterial large subunit ribosomal RNA", at positions 1308 to 2925 of the family's 2925-position model. The record is from RNAcentral.